Molecule: long non-coding RNA, 455 nt
Organism: Camelus dromedarius (Arabian camel)
Lineage: Eukaryota; Metazoa; Chordata; Mammalia; Artiodactyla; Camelidae
Exons: 3
Source: RefSeq, a predicted model, not a curated record
GUGGGGAGCCGAGGAAGGAAAGGCGCUUACCAGGCCACCUCCGCAGUUUUCCUCCAGGUGCUGUAAACGUACCUUUGCGAAUCUUACUACUCUCUUUGGGGAAAACAGCAUUUCACGAGGUCAAAAUGAGGCCACGAGAAGCGCGCUUCGCUCGCGAGCGUGACGCUCUCAUCCGCACCCGCACGCUCGUUUUGAUUGCUGCCCGCUGAGCCCCGCUCACCGCGCACAGCUGCACCAGCCCUGCCGACCCGUGCGUUCUCGGUUUCCGCUGCGGAAGUUGUAAAGCAAGUCGAAAGUCACGGAAGAACUUACCUGAAACGAUCCCAUUCGACAGGACCCCCAGCUGGUAAAGGAGGCAGCAACAGCAGAUGAGUUUCCGGAGCCCCACAGGACAGCCCCACCGUCAGCGGAGAGCCGGCAGGGGCAGGGCGGGCAGUGCUGCCUCGGGACAGGCG